AAAAGCGGGUUUAAAGUAGUCAAGUAAACAUCGUUAUAAAGUUAUCCUCGUUAUAAAGUUAUCCUCGUUAUAAAGUUAUCCUCGUUAUACAUACAGACAUGCAUGUACCCCCAAAACCACAAAAAGCACAUCGCAAUAAUUAUUUUAAACACAUUCAAGUUAAAAAUGAAUUCCUGUUUUAGUAGACUUAAUUGGUAGUUUU
Paramuricea clavata is the source of this 202-nucleotide non-coding RNA. The record is from the annotation of a GenBank genome assembly. NCBI's taxonomy places the organism in Eukaryota, Metazoa, Cnidaria, Anthozoa, Malacalcyonacea, Plexauridae.